ACGAACGCUGGCGGCGUGCUUAACACAUGCAAGUCGAACGGAAAGGCCCUGCUUUUGUGGGGUGCUCGAGUGGCGAACGGGUGAGUAACACGUGAGUCACCUGCCCUUGACUUUGGGAUAACUUCAGGAAACUGGGGCUAAUACCGGAUAGGAGCUCCUGCUGCAUGGUGGGGGUUGGAAAGUUUCGGCCGUUGGGGAUGGACUCGCGGCUUAUCAGCUUGUUGGGGGGGUAGUGGCUUACCAAGGCUUUGCGGGGUAGCCGGCCUGGGAGGGGGGCCGGGCACAUGGGGACUGAGGUACGGCCCAGACGCCUACGGUAGGCAGCAGUGGGGAAUAUUGCACAAUGGGCGGAAGCCGGAUGCAGCAACGCCGCGGGCGGGAUGACGGCCUUCGGGUUGUAAACCGCUUUCGCCUGUGACGAAGCGUGAGUGACGGUAAUGGGUAAAGAAGCACCGGCUAACUACGUG
RNAcentral lists this ribosomal RNA (467 nucleotides) under uncultured bacterium. Its description in RNAcentral is "partial 16S ribosomal RNA". It matches the Rfam family "Bacterial small subunit ribosomal RNA", at positions 29 to 507 of the family's 1533-position model. The record is from RNAcentral.